AUUCCAGAUAGGUAAUCUAUCUCCAGUUAAUAUUACUACAACCUCAAGCAAACAUGGCUUCUUGCAGCAGAUAAAUGUCUAUUUUAGACAUUCUAUGCGCAAAUCACAACUAUAACUAACCAUGGAAAUUUGCAGCAAAGUCAAAGGAUACAGAUAAUAACUCAUCAUUAUCUUCGGGUUCCAGUCUAGGACAUUUCUCGCUAUAUUAUCGCGCGGUCGGCAUAGGAUACGAUCCAACAGAUCCAUUUUCUCUUCCGGAUUUCUAUAUCGACGGGGAAAGUGUUUGUUCUUGUUUGCAAUUCUUUAUUUGAAAUACGGUUUGGCCAGAAAAUUCGAAGCAUUUGUCGUAGGCAGCCAUUUAUGGAAACUUGGACUUUAUGGAUAGUCGCUUGUGUCAAGCAACUUGGACAACCAUAUAAUAAAAUCGAUUUCACACUACUGUUGAA
Long non-coding RNA from Stomoxys calcitrans (stable fly), 446 nucleotides. RefSeq lists it as uncharacterized. Lineage: Eukaryota; Metazoa; Arthropoda; Insecta; Diptera; Muscidae. The record is from RefSeq and is a predicted model, not a curated record. The transcript is spliced from 2 exons.